RNAcentral lists this ribosomal RNA (253 nucleotides) under uncultured bacterium. Its description in RNAcentral is "partial 16S ribosomal RNA". It matches the Rfam family "Bacterial small subunit ribosomal RNA", at positions 524 to 776 of the family's 1533-position model. The record is from RNAcentral.
UACAGAGGGGGCAGGCGUUGUUCGGAAUUACUGGGCGUAAAGGGCGCGUAGGCGGCCUUCUAAGUCGAACGUGAAAUCCCCGGGCUCAACCCGGGAACUGCGUCCGAUACUGGAAGGCUUGAAUCCGGGAGAGGGAUGCGGAAUUCCAGGUGUAGCGGUGAAAUGCGUAGAUAUCUGGAGGAACACCGGUGGCGAAGGCGGCAUCCUGGACCGGCAUUGACGCUGAGGCGCGAAAGCCAGGGGAGCAAACGGG